This 382-nucleotide ribosomal RNA is filed under the name uncultured bacterium. RNAcentral describes it as "bacterial SSU rRNA". It matches the Rfam family "Bacterial small subunit ribosomal RNA", at positions 28 to 409 of the family's 1533-position model. The record is from RNAcentral.
GACGAACGUUGGCGGCGUGCUUAAUACAUGCAAGUCAACUGAAGCACCGGUAGUAAUACUGGUGUGGAGGUGGCGCACGGGUGAGUAACACGUAGGUAAUCUGCCUUCAGGUCUGACAUAACCCCGAGAAAUCGGGGCUAAUAGCAGAUGAUGCAGCGGCUUGACAUCAAGACAGUUGUUAAAGCUUCGGCGCCUGAAGAUGAGCCUGCGUCUGAUUAGCUAGUUGGCGGAGUAAUGGCCCACCAAGGCUACGAUCAGUAACUGGUCUGAGAGGAUGAUCAGUCACACUGGAACUGAGACACGGUCCAGACUCCUACGGGAGCAGCAGUAAGGAAUAUUGCUCAUGGGAGAAAUCCUGAAGCAGCAACGCCGCGUGAGGGAU